RNAcentral lists this long non-coding RNA (4825 nucleotides) under Podarcis lilfordi (Lilford's wall lizard). The record is from RNAcentral. Lineage: Eukaryota; Metazoa; Chordata; Lepidosauria; Squamata; Lacertidae.
CCUUGUCCGAACGGGCGCAGUCCUAGGCCUAGUGUGAGGGACGCGGGAAAAAGCUGAGGGGAGACUCUUAAACUUCUGUACUCCACAGACACACACAAAUGUGAGUUUUCCCUCCCUCCUUUCCUCUUUCUCUCCCUUCCCUUCCUCUUCCAACUUGAAUAAAAUAUUGGAACGAGGGGGGCAGGUAAGACCCACCUCACAUAACUGAUCACAAGACAAAGUGCACGCAACUAUUUGAAUGGUAAUGCCUAUCAACAUGGGGGGAGGGACGACUCCCUCAAAUAUUUUAUUGGGGGGGGCGAAGGCACCUAGGCUUCUAGGAGUUGGCUGCUAUGCCCAGGACAGUUCAGGAAAGCAAAAUGAUGCCUACAUAAAACUAUAGCAAACAGGAAAAAAAAUGCACAUUUAAAAAAAAUCCCUUUUUAAUGCCUGAGAGAAUUCAAAUAAUGUCUUUGCCCGGGACUGAAAGAGUACAGGUGUUGGCUCCAGGUGGGUCUCUCUGGGGGAGGAAUGUCAUCACUGGGAAGCCAUGGCUUAGAGAAGAAGCUUCUCCCUCCUUAGGCAGGUUGGUGUGCGAGUAGGUGCUCCUUAUGGUGCUUUGGUCCUAAGCCCUUCCUACCAGAGAGCACUCAGCCGAUCAGCAAAUGGCUUAUAUCACCAUAAAAUCUGUUCACCUUUAAUGUGCUGUCAGACUCUUGGAUAGGAGUUUUCACGCAGAAGCUGGAGGGUCACUUCUCAGGGAUGCAGUAGCAGCAGAUUUCCCUGCACAAGGGGCUGGACUAUGUGUCCUUUCCACUGUUGGGCCUAUGAUUUUGCUGCAACAGGGGUUGCCAGCCCUCUGGAUCUUUGCAAUUGUAGUCAUAUUCUUGUAUACCUGCUAAACUGGAAGGAUACUUGCCCUCUCCUUUCCGUUUGUCUCCUUCCCCGUAGUAGGGGUUGGGAACCUGCCAGCUUCCGGAUGCCACUGGACUACAACUCCUAUUAUCCCUGUCCAUUGCCCAAGCUGGCUGGGGCUGAUACGAGUCAAGAGUCCAACCACCUCCCUACCCUGAAGAGCUGCCUUUCUCAACCACAGGUGAGGGGCUACAGUUAAGAAGAGAGUGCCUUUGGCCACAUGCAGAAUUCAGAGGGCGCUCUGAGCCAGGGCUUAAUUCUGAACCUGUUUCAAAUGCCCAACCUUAUAUGCUGAAGAGUGACCCCAUUACACUACCUUUGUGUACAGGAUUUAGUCAAAGGAGAGUCCCCAAUUUUUUACAUUAAUUGGUUCAGAAGGCAAAAUUGAGGUGAAAAUUGGCAAUGAGGUGGACCCAAACAGAUUAAUAAGCCCCAAAAGAAUCAGUGUUUAGCUUGAGAUAUGGCCACCGUAGCCAUUUUUUAUUGUUGGGAUUCAGCCCCAGAUAAUGCAUAUUAAAGUAUGUCUGGACGCGAACAAAUUCCUUUCUUUUGCUGCAACCUUUUGUUUUGUUGUCUUGAUUAUUUACUUGUGUUUUAUCUUGUAUUUUAUUCUGUGAACCACCCUGAGAUCUUUUGAUGAAGGGCAGCAUAUACUUUAAUAAACAAUAUUAAUCAUAAUAAUUCCUGGCCCUUUAAUGAAGCUGAGAUUUGUGCAGCAGCUGUUCGAGGAUCAAAGGAGUGGCUUUCAAGUAGUAUUGAACUCCAGCUCCUUGCUUGUUAAAAUGAUCAACUUCUUAAUUAGCAGCAUUGAGGAUAGUGGAGGUGUUUUGGAGGAAGACAGAGAAGAAUUUCAGGUGUCUUGAUUGAGAUUCACACCUGACUGAAUUUCAGGUGUCUUGAUUGAGAUUAAGUUGUGUCCGGGCUCGGCUCGGUAAUGUGUGGAGAAAUAAAGAAGAGAAUACCUCUGAGCAUGUGCAAAGUUUUGCUCGUAAUGGGGGAAGGCAGAGAAAGAGAAUAAUUCCAGGUGGGGCAAUUUAGAUUCACCCAGAACUUAAUUUGUGUCGGGGCUCAGUCAUGCAAUGUGUGAAGCAGUAAAGAACAGAGUACCGCUGAGCACAUGCGAAGUGUCCUCCCCUUACUGCUAAACACAAAGAGCCCCUAAAAGGUAGGGGGUUACAAGUUCCAGAGGUCAGGCUGUGUACAAAAUAAGAGCGCCUAACCUUUCCUUUUUUGAGAGAUGAAGCCCUAACACAACACACAAAAGAAUCGCCCAAACAAAGAGAUUCAUUGCAGCCGGAGCUGCCAGCUUUCUUUGCCAACACUGCCCCCUGGCUGCCGACCAAUGCCAAGCCAGUGAAUUUGCCCAAGCAGCGUGGACAUAGGGCCAGACAGUGAUGGAUGGAUAGAAGCAUCUGUUUAAUAGAUAGGUUAUCCGAGAUGAGGUUAUGCCCCUGGUCCAUUGGGGCAGAGUGGCCUAUUAUGGAGCAUCAAAGGUGAUUAAAGUAGUACUUUCUAAGAGAAUGACAUUGGCUUUAAAAAAAAAAAACACCUUUGGCAAGUGCUUCUGGUUCAACCCAGUUAGUGAUGGAAGAACUCUUAUUGUCCUAGGCAGGUUCCCAGCGGCCAAGGAAAUAAGCAGUUAGAAGAGGAACUGUCCCCAUCCCACCCCCAAGAGCUGCCUCUGACUGUAGACUUUAAUAAAGGGGUAGGCAAGUACAGGCCUUGAGAUCGAAUCUGGCUGGAAAAGUCGCCUCAAGUAAUCUACUCCUGAGCUCAUUUAAACCGCAGCUUUCCUGCCACUUCACUUUGAAGCCUUGCACACACCUCGAAGCACACUCGGCUUCUUACAGCCCUCACAUGCUACAAAAGAAGGCCCAGGUGGGGAGGAUCAGAAGGCUUUUAAAAGAAGGGAUUUAAAAGCCCAGACUGCCCUGCCCUGGCUCUUGGGUGAAGCAAACACUGUUGCCCAAGUCCAGAAUGUGACCCCAGUCCCUGACCUGCAGCCAGCUUUUUGUGAUGGCUCCUUAGCUACCGUUCCAGAAGGCUAUGUGGGAGUGAUAUGGUUUGAGACCCCCUACCCCUAAUUCAAAGGCCCUCAUAGCCCCCCCUUACCUGAACCUCUCCAGUUCUGUCUCUGUGCCUGGCUGAGGAGGGCGGCCCAGUGGUCUCCAGCUGUGCAUGGCCUUAUUUAUUCAUGCUGUCUUAUCCCAGCAACGGGGAACCUGUGGCCUUCCAUUUGCUGUUCAGCUCCCAUCAGCCCCAGCCAGCAUGGCCAAUGUUCAGGCAUGAUGGGAGUUGUAGCCUAACAUGUGGGGACGGGGCUUAGCUUCCCCAUUCUUGGUCUAUUCAGCUCCACCCAUGUUUGAUGCUUGAAUUAUUACAGUGGUACCUCGGGUUAAGAACUUAAUUCAUUCUGGAGGUCCGUUCUUAACCUGAAACUGUUCUUAACCUGAGGUACCACUUUAGUUAAUGGGGCCUCCCUGCCGCUGCGCCACCGGAGUACGAUUUCUGUUCUCAUCCUGAAGCAAACUUCUUAACCUGAGGUACUAUUUCUGGUUAGCAGAGUCUGUAACCUGAAAUGUCUGUAACCCGAGGUACCACUGUAUUGGGUAUUAGAGAGUCUGGUGACCCUCUUUACUUUUUUGGUGAUGACCCCUCUUAGGUUUUUUAGAAGGUGGGGAGCAGGGAUAAAUUGACUAAAAUUGAGAGGAGUCAGGGCUGGGGCUUGUGGGUUUAGUGAAGAGCCCCUCUAGAUGUAUGGCAACCCUUGGGUUUAGUCAUUUGGUAAAAUGCAGUUCCAGCCCCCAGACCAUUGUCUAGAUAGGCAAUAAUGCUGUAGCUCAGGAGAAUACAGGCCUGCCCCAAAUUAGAUGAGCUAUAUAUACUCCUACUACUUUCUCGUUCUGUUGUGCCAUAUAUAUGCUACUACUUUCUCCUUCUGUUGUGCCAUGAUCAUUUCUGUAAUUUGUCCAGAUGAAGGUCAUCAGGAUAAUUCAGACCCUCCAAGUCUCCCUAUUUUCCAGGGACAGUCCCAGAUUUACAGAAGUCGUCCCAGUUUCUGAUUUGAUCCUGGAAUGUCCCACUUUUCCUUAGGAAGUCUGUAUUUUCAUUGGAGAAAUGUUGGAGGGUAUGGAGUUAUGUGACAUCUGAAGGCAGCCCUGUCUAGGGAAGUUUUAAAAUGUUUAAUGAUGUUUUUAUAUAUGUUGGAAGCGUGGCUGGGGCAACCCAGUCAGAUGGGUGGGGAAUAAUAAUAAUAAUAAUAAUAAUAAUAAUAAUAAUAAUAAUAGAUGUCCCUAUUUUCAUCAGAGAAAUGUUGGAGGGUACGUAUAAUAAUAUCUGAUCUCAGUGGGGGUGUUCUUUUCAAACACAGUGAACAUUCAUCUCUUGAGCAUGAGCAACACCUACUCAAAAACAGCUGUCCACCCACCAGCCUGUCUCUAGUUCUGGAGGUCCUCAAUGUCCUAGGACCUAUAGGAAGGUAAAGGAAGGAGAUGCCGUAAAUCAGGAGUGAGGAAACUUUGGUCCUCCGGAUGUUGCUGAACUCCAACUCCCAUCAGCCCCAGCAAGCAUGGCCAAAGGCCAGGGAUGAUGGGCAUUUUAGUUCAGCAACAUCCAGAGGGCCAUAAGCUCUACACACCCGCCUCCUACAGAGUCAGGCUCUUUGUCUCUCUCUAGCCCAGAGUUGCCAGGGACUAAACCUGAGACCUUCUGCAAGCAAAGCAGAUGUUCUACCACGGAGAUAAGCCACACACCAUUUUUCUCUCACACAGGAAGGCAAAGGAAUCACCAGCACUUUCUCUGCCAGUGAGAGCAGCCAACAGCAGCUCUGCAAGCCGAGAUGCUGAUGAGCAUCAAGGAGCAUUUGAGGGGCCUGAUAAGAGGAGAGCUCUGGCAAGUACCUUUGAUGCUGUUCACAUUUGGGAAGGGAGAG